UACGUAGGGUGCGAGCGUUGUCCGGAAUUACUGGGCGUAAAGAGCUCGUAGGUGGUUUGUCGCGUUGUUCGUGAAAACCGGGGGCUUAACCCUCGGCGUGCGGGCGAUACGGGCAGACUUGAGUACUGCAGGGGAGACUGGAAUUCCUGGUGUAGCGGUGGAAUGCGCAGAUAUCAGGAGGAACACCGGUGGCGAAGGCGGGUCUCUGGGCAGUAACUGAAGCUGAGGAGCGAAAGCGUGGGGAGCGAACAGG
RNAcentral lists this ribosomal RNA (253 nucleotides) under uncultured bacterium. RNAcentral describes it as "partial 16S ribosomal RNA". It matches the Rfam family "Bacterial small subunit ribosomal RNA", at positions 524 to 776 of the family's 1533-position model. The record is from RNAcentral.